AACGAACGCUGGCGGCAUGCCUAACACAUGCAAGUCGAACGAGACCUUCGGGUCUAGUGGCGCACGGGUGCGUAACGCGUGGGAACCUGCCCUUAGGUUCGGAAUAACUCCCCGAAAGGGGUGCUAAUACCGGAUAAUGUCUUCGGACCAAAGAUUUAUCGCCUUUGGAUGGGCCCGCGUUGGAUUAGCUAGUUGGUAGGGUAAAAGCCUACCAAGGCGACGAUCCAUAGCUGGUCCGAGAGGAUGAUCAGCCACACUGGGACUGAGACACGGUCCAGACUCCUACGGGAGGCAGCAGUGGGGAAUAUUGGACAAUGGGCGAAAGCCUGAUCCAGCAAUGCCGCGUGAGUGAUGAAGGCCUUAGGGUUGUAAAGCUCUUUUACCCGGGAUGAUAAUGACAGUACCGGGAGAAUAAGCUCCGGCUAACUCCGUG
Molecule: ribosomal RNA, 433 nt
Filed under: uncultured bacterium
Lineage: Bacteria
Description: partial 16S ribosomal RNA
Rfam family: Bacterial small subunit ribosomal RNA
Source: RNAcentral